Brassica napus (rape) is the source of this 1932-nucleotide long non-coding RNA. RefSeq lists it as uncharacterized. Lineage: Eukaryota; Viridiplantae; Streptophyta; Magnoliopsida; Brassicales; Brassicaceae. The record is from RefSeq and is a predicted model, not a curated record. The transcript is spliced from 4 exons.
UUAUUGGAUACCACUUUUCAACUAUACCACAACUAAAGGGACUUUUUCAUAAAUGCCUUAUUCAUUAAUGGGUAAAUGACCUAAGUACCCCCUAACUAAAUCAGAGAAAGGGAAAGAGAUAAGGUUUUGGUUCCCCCCCGACGAAUCUCCACGACGGACGGCGAUACUCACGGCGGACGACGAUAGUCACGACGGCGAAACUCACGACGAAGAAGAGAAAAGGUAUUCUCCUUCACGAGUCACAACAUCUCUCUGGAAAAAGCAACUGGUGACGACGAAUCGCGACAAUAACAAUCCCGAUUCAAAAAUCUCAUCUCAAAAAUGUCGUCUUCUCUUCACGAUUCUCCUCUUAGCGAUUCUCUUAUUCACGAAUCUCCUCUUCAUGAUUCUCUACAAGUAAUUUCCUAAAUUUGUGUAUCUUUUUGUUUGUUUCAAGUCAUUUGUUGAAUUUUUUAUUUCUGUUAUAAGAAAAUAGAAUAAGAUUGGCUGAGGAUUAUGUCCCUAGUUAGAUCUAAGAGAAAGAGUAUCGAUAGUGAACAUUGAGUUUUGUUUUGAAACAUUAUAAGCCCUUAUAAAUUUGGGUUUCAAGUAAUUAUAAGAUGUGUGAACUCAAGAAGUGUUGUCUUGUAUUGCAGUUGGAUAGAAACGAGUUUUGCACAACAUUGAGAUUGCCUAUGAGGGAAGCUGGAGAACCACCAGAUAAUUCCAAAGCGAUAAUCCAUCACUCAAAGAUUGAUUAUGUCGAGAAGGUAGCAGAAAUAUUAGGAAAAAAAAGAGUUCUCUUUUGUAGGUUACGUCGUCUACUCCAACAUUCAAUACUCCAAACUUUGAUACAAGGGUUACAUCGCCUACUCCAACAUUUACGUCGCCUAAGUUUGAUCUCCUUUCCCAAGAAAGUCGUAGUGGAAAGGGUACAUAUGAGGUUCUUAUGAGAGAUGUUUGUGAGAUUUCUGAUUUUCAACCUCUAAUGAAAAUUAAAAAGAGAUUGGUACAACAAGACAGCCAGGUAAACGAAGAUAUUGAGCCUCCACUUCAAAAGAAGAUUAAAACUGAUACAGAUAAUGUUCCACUAAGAAGAAGUGAAAGAGGUCAAAUACCAUCCAUUCAUACACAGCCACCGUUUGCAGGAGCAAGGAAGAAACAUCCGAUUCUCCAUCCUUUUGAGCCAGUUGAUAAAACAAGAAAAGAAAAGAUGAGAGAAUGGAAAAUGUCAAACAAAAAAAGUAAGUUUUUAUUUUAUAAAAAACUAUAUAUUUCAUGAGGUGAAACUGGAUACCUACAUAAUAAGUAUGAGUGUACAAUGUAGGAAACUGAGAAUCAAUCAAGAGAUAGUAACCGCAAAGUAGUUCUCAGAUAUUGAAACACCGGGAAAAAAAGCUUUCAAAAACGGUUAGGCUAUAUUUGAACAAAAAUUCUUUAUAAUCCCUUAUAAAUUUAUAUUAAUCUUCUUUAUAAAACUAUAUGAUCGCUUUUCUGAAUAUUUGUUAUUUUGUCCCAGCAUAUUGAAGCAGGUUUGGAGUUGCUGAAACUGAAACAGAUAAACAAUCCAGAUUUGUUUCUGAACAAAACUGCCUUCGUUGUUGGAGUGAAGUUUCUUGAAGAAAUAGAUGAGCUUUAUGAUGAGUUUUUAGAUGACAAGAAAAGUUUCCAAUUUGGAACAGGUUUUGACAAGUACAACAUAGAGAAAAAUAUCAAUUUUCUCUAUUCGGCUAUUGCAGUAGAAGAAAAGUAUUGGCUUGGAGUUGUAGUCAACUUGGAGAAGAGAAGUACCACAUCAUUCAAUUGUGCAGCAUUGAAGUUCAAAGAUGCGAGUUUGGUACCUUAUGUAAAUGCAUAUGCGAUGGCUCUACCAUUCAUGAUUCGCAAUUUCUUCAAAGAUGUCAGCAUGGAUACAAGCAAGUUCUCAAUAAAAAUUGUAUCUGAAGGUUUUCC